Molecule: ribosomal RNA, 375 nt
Filed under: Skogsbergia crenulata
Lineage: Eukaryota; Metazoa; Arthropoda; Ostracoda; Myodocopida; Cypridinidae
Description: partial 16S ribosomal RNA
Source: RNAcentral
ACUGGUAUGAAUGAGCUAAUUAGGGGGAGACUUUUUUACAAGUAUUAGUAUAAUUUUAUUAUCAAGUAAAAAGGCUUGGUUGUUGUAAAGUGACAAGAAGACCCUAAGAGUUUUAUUAAGUUACAUUUUGGCAGAAUAUUGUGUGGAUGUUAGAGGGCUAGGAAGUAAUUUAAUUUAGCUGGGGCGGUUGAAAUAAUAUCUAUUUUGUAUAUUACUGUAAUGAUAGAAUUUUAUUUUAUUGUAUCCUCCGUAGGAAUGCAAUAUAAAUUACCUUAGGGAUAACAGCAUAAUCUUUUUUGAGAGAUCUUAUUGACAGGAAGGUUUGUGACCUCGAUGUUGGAUUUGAAUAACUUUUAGGAGCAGCAUUUGUAAAAG